AUGAUGAUGUAUUAGUAGCUCAGCUUUCAGAGCGCCGGUUUUGUAAUCCGGACGUCGAAGGUUAAAAUCCUUCCUAUUACU
This 81-nucleotide transfer RNA is filed under the name Mugil curema (white mullet). Its description in RNAcentral is "tRNA-Thr". It matches the Rfam family "tRNA". Rfam says of the family: Transfer RNA (tRNA) molecules are approximately 80 nucleotides in length. Their secondary structure includes four short double-helical elements and three loops (D, anti-codon, and T loops). Further hydrogen bonds mediate the characteristic L-shaped molecular structure. tRNAs have two regions of fundamental functional importance: the anti-codon, which is responsible for specific mRNA codon recognition, and the 3' end, to which the tRNAs corresponding amino acid is attached (by aminoacyl-tRNA synthetases). tRNAs cope with the degeneracy of the genetic code in two manners: having more than one tRNA (with a specific anti-codon) for a particular amino acid; and 'wobble' base-pairing, i.e. permitting non-standard base-pairing at the 3rd anti-codon position. The record is from RNAcentral. Lineage: Eukaryota; Metazoa; Chordata; Actinopteri; Mugiliformes; Mugilidae.